Molecule: ribosomal RNA, 465 nt
Filed under: uncultured bacterium
Lineage: Bacteria
Description: partial 16S ribosomal RNA
Rfam family: Bacterial small subunit ribosomal RNA
Source: RNAcentral
CCUACGGGAGGCAGCAGUGGGGAAUAUUGCGCAAUGGGCGAAAGCCUGACGCAGCGACGCCGCGUGAGGGAUGAAGGUCUUCGGAUCGUAAACCUCUGUCAGCAGGGAAGAACGGUCAGUGUGAUAAGCAGCAGUGAAUUGACGGUACCUGCAAAGGAAGCACCGGCUAACUCCGUGCCAGCAGCCGCGGUAAUACGGAGGGUUCGAGCGUGAAGGGGAAUUACUGGGAGGAAAGCGCUCGUAGGCGGUAUGUCAAGUCAAGGGUGAAAUCCCCGCGCUCAACGUGGGAACUGCCUUUGAAACUGGCAAACUUGAGUUUGUGAGAGGUUAGUGGAAUUCCAGGUGUAGGCGUGAAAUCCGUAGAUAUCUGGUGGAACAUCAGUGGCGAAGGCGACUUUCUGGCACAUACCUGACGCUGAGGCGCGAAAGCGUGGGUAGCAAACAGGAUUAGAUACCCUAGUAGUC